This 253-nucleotide ribosomal RNA is filed under the name uncultured bacterium. RNAcentral describes it as "partial 16S ribosomal RNA". It matches the Rfam family "Bacterial small subunit ribosomal RNA", at positions 524 to 776 of the family's 1533-position model. The record is from RNAcentral.
UACGAAGGGGGCUAGCGUUGCUCGGAAUCACUGGGCGUAAAGGGUGCGUAGGCGGGUUUUUAAGUCAGGGGUGAAAUCCUGGAGCUCAACUCCAGAACUGCCUUUGAUACUGAAGAUCUUGAGUCCGGGAGAGGUGAGUGGAACUGCGAGUGUAGAGGUGAAAUUCGUAGAUAUUCGCAAGAACACCAGUGGCGGAGGCGGCUCACUGGCCCGGUACUGACGCUGAGGCACGAAAGCGUGGGGAGCAAACAGG